GAUGAACGCUGGCGGCGUGCUUAACACAUGCAAGUCGAACGGAAAGGCUCCUGCUUGCCUGGGUACUCGUGUGGCGAACGGGUGUGUAACACGUGGGUGUUCUGCCCUGUACUUCGUGAUAAGCCUGGGAAACUGGGUCUAAUACCGGAUAGGACGAUGGUUUGGAUGCCAUUGUGGAAAGUUUUUCGGUGUGGGAUGAGCUGGAGGCUUAUCAGCUUGUUGGUGGGGUAAUGGCUUACCAAGGCGUCGACGGGUAGUCGGCAUGAGAGGGUGUACGGCCACAAUGGGACUGAGAUACGGAGCAGAGGGGAACGGGAGGCAACAGUGGGGAAUAUUGCACAAUGGGGGCAAGCGUGAUAAAGAGACGCAGGGUGGGGAAAGAGGGCGUUCGGGGGGAAAACUCCUUUGGAUAGAGACGAAGAGGAAGUGACGGUACCUGAAGAAGAAGCAACGGCUAACUACGUG
Molecule: ribosomal RNA, 465 nt
Filed under: uncultured bacterium
Lineage: Bacteria
Description: partial 16S ribosomal RNA
Rfam family: Bacterial small subunit ribosomal RNA
Source: RNAcentral